This 305-nucleotide ribosomal RNA is filed under the name uncultured bacterium. RNAcentral describes it as "bacterial SSU rRNA". It matches the Rfam family "Bacterial small subunit ribosomal RNA", at positions 338 to 635 of the family's 1533-position model. The record is from RNAcentral.
CCUACGGGGCGCAGCAGUAGGGAAUUUUCGUCAAUGGGCGCAAGCCUGAACGAGCAAUGCCGCGUGAACGAGGAAGGUCUUCGGAUCGUAAAGUUCUGUUGAAGGGGAAAAAGAGCGGAGAGAGGAAAUGGUCUCCGAUUGAUAUUACCCUUCGAGGAAGUCACGGCUAACUACGUGCCAGCAGCCGCGGUAAUACGUAGGUGGCAAGCGUUAUCCGGAAUUAUUGGGCGUAAAGAGCGCGCAGGUGGUUAAUUAAGUCUGAUGUGAAAGCCCACGGCUUAACCGUGGAGGGUCAUUGGAAACUG